RNAcentral lists this long non-coding RNA (207 nucleotides) under Mytilus galloprovincialis (Mediterranean mussel). The record is from RNAcentral. Lineage: Eukaryota; Metazoa; Mollusca; Bivalvia; Mytilida; Mytilidae.
CGAAUCACAUGACUUUGAUAAUCAGUAAAUUCCAGCGAAAAAUAUCUUUAUAAGUCAAGAAUUGUCGCAUAAAAAUUAAAUAGUAGUACACGGGAAAUGGCAAAGUUCACGAAGUCUAGUCUGAUUAAUCAUUUUACAAAAAAAAAAAAAAAAAAAGUCCGAGCAAAGAGGGGGCGUACGCCCUCUACGCCCCCCUCUGGAUCCGCC